This 497-nucleotide ribosomal RNA is filed under the name uncultured bacterium. Its description in RNAcentral is "partial 16S ribosomal RNA". It matches the Rfam family "Bacterial small subunit ribosomal RNA", at positions 28 to 507 of the family's 1533-position model. The record is from RNAcentral.
GAUGAACGCUGGCGGCGUGCCUAAUACAUGCAAGUCGAGCGAACGGACGAGAAGCUUGCUUCUCUGAUGUUAGCGGCGGACGGGUGAGUAACACGUGGAUAACCUACCUAUAAGACUGGGAUAACUUCGGGAAACCGGAGCUAAUACCGGAUAAUAUUUUGAACCGCAUGGUUCAAAAGUGAAAGACGGUCUUGCUGUCACUUAUAGAUGGAUCCGCGCUGCAUUAGCUAGUUGGUAAGGUAACGGCUUACCAAGGCAACGAUUCAUAGCCGACCUGAGAGGGUGAUCGGCCACACUGGAACUGAGACACGGUCCAGACUCCUACGGGAGGCAGCAGUAGGGAAUCUUCCGCAAUGGGCGAAAGCCUGACGGAGCAACGCCGCGUGAGUGACGAAGGUCUUCGGAUCGUAAAACUCUGUUAUUAGGGAAGAACAUAUGUGUAAGUAACUGUGCACAUCUUGACGGUACCUAAUCAGAAAGCCACGGCUAACUACGUG